AGGAGUAAUUCACGCUGAGUCGGCUGUGCGGGAGACCGGAGAUUUGAUUUUUAUUUAUUUUAUUUUAUUUUAUUUUAUUUUAUUAUUUCUGAAACAGAGUCUUGCUCUGUUGCCCAGGCUGGAGUGCAGCCUCGGAGUUUUAUGAUUAUUCAAAUCAGUCUCCCUGAGCUUUGGGGAUAAGAGUAUUUAGAAAGUUUAUUUUGCCAAGGUUGGGGAUGCUUGUGCAUGACACAGCCUCAGGAUGUCCUGAUGACAGUUGCCCAGGUGGUCAGAGCACAGCUUGGUUUUGUUGGAGAUAAAUGCUCGGUGAUGCAAAGUGAAACCAGCACUUAAGCAAAAGUUUUCUCAGCAACGCAAUUUACCUCUGCGGAAGCGUGCUGCUCGCAUCAAUCACAAUCGCAAGAGCACACGGAACAAAGGAAAGCAGGGGUUUUUAUUCCUAAUGCAAUCCCUACCUCUGGCAUGGGCUGGGGCCAGACCUCAAGAUCUAAACUGACCCCGUUGGCUAUUUGGAGACAGGAGACAUCAAUCAACAUAUGUAAGAUGAACACUGGUUCGAUCCGGUACAACCUGAAGGAAAAGUGGGUCAACUCGAAGCCAGGAGGGGGCUUCCAGGUCACUGGCAGAAACGGGGGUCUCCCUCGGUUGCCCAGGCUGUCUCUGGUGCCCAACGCAGGGCUCCCCGUAAUCUCUACAAAUAAUCCAGUGAAGGAACACCAGAGCGUGGAAAGCUGAGGACGACCGACAAAGGACUCCCGAGGUCCCAGCCAAGACCCCCAAGGAUCCAGGGGAACUCCUGCCUAUGCCAUCAGCUGUGCUUCUCAUCACCACCCAAGAAAUCUCCUCUAAUGAGCAUGAAUGGGAGGAAAGUCAGCAUAUGCCUUCUCAGCAUUUCUGUUGUUACUGAGCUCUUUCCAUGGACCAGGCACUUCACACGCAUUAUUUAAUACUGUAAAGGUACAUUUAACACAUUAAUUAUCCUUGUUGUGAAG
Molecule: long non-coding RNA, 992 nt
Filed under: Macaca mulatta (Rhesus monkey)
Lineage: Eukaryota; Metazoa; Chordata; Mammalia; Primates; Cercopithecidae
Description: lncRNA (ENSMMUG00000059944.1)
Source: RNAcentral